This is a transfer RNA of Purpureocillium lilacinum, 84 nucleotides long. It matches the Rfam family "tRNA". Rfam says of the family: Transfer RNA (tRNA) molecules are approximately 80 nucleotides in length. The record is from Rfam. Lineage: Eukaryota; Fungi; Ascomycota; Sordariomycetes; Hypocreales; Ophiocordycipitaceae.
GCUUCCUUAGCUCAGUUGGUUAGAGCGUGGGACUAAUAUUCCUUGGUCAUCUCAAGGUCACAGGUUCGACCCCUGUAGGGAGCA